Papio anubis (olive baboon) is the source of this 3439-nucleotide long non-coding RNA. NCBI's taxonomy places the organism in Eukaryota, Metazoa, Chordata, Mammalia, Primates, Cercopithecidae. The record is from Ensembl.
AUGAAACUCAUUUUCAGUACACAAAAGGCUUUGGGACAGCAAAUUUCUUUAAUUUUAACAUUCUCUCAGUAUCUGCUGCUUGACCAAAUAGAUAUAUUCCAACAAUAUUGGCUACAAGAUAAAUUCUAUUUUGCUCUUGCUUACAUUAGAAUGCUGAGGAUGUGUUCCCAUGAGUUUCUCCCUCCUUGUACCCCACCGAAUGGAAUGUUAAAAAUACGGAGAAAGCAAUUUAUGCAGAUGAAGUCCCAACUCUGGCCAUGGCCAAUAUUAGCUGGAUAAUUCUUUGAAUCUGGCUAAUGUGGAAUCUUGCAAGGACAAAGAGGAUUUGCUCAUGAACUGGUAAGAGAGGUACUGGUCAUGCAUGCUUAAAUGUGCUAAUAGUUCUGGUCUUUAAUGGUACCGACUUAAUGAAGAUGAUGUUAUGCAUUUUUAAUUGUUCGCCUAUGAUUCGACAUUAGCCAUGCCUUUCUAAUAUGAAGAUUUGUUGGCCAGAACUGACAUUAGCUGAAAGUGGAUCCUUAACUUGUCAGUUCCUCCCACAUCUUCCUUGCCUUUGUUUUCCCUAGUGCCUUUCAACUGAAUUGAUGAGCCCUAUCUGCAGACCCAGAUCACCCCCUAACCCUUUCCUAAAUCAAUGUUUAAAAUGGCAGAAAAUAUAUCAACAACCUCAGACUAAUUUAACAGGGCUUGAAACACUGAGCCGGGAGUGAGCUUUGUGCGUUCAUUACACCCCUGAAUUGCAGUGCUCCUCGCCCCCUUUCUAGGUUACUUUUGCUCUGUUCUCCCACUGUGCAGUUUGGUAAUUUGGCCUUGUUUCCCUCUAGGACUAACUCCCCAUGCAGAACCUUGCCUAACUCCUGCCAAACUUUUCUUCCUAGACUCUGCCCUAGCCCAUUUCUUUGAUACCUUAUCAGUUGGCAAGAUAUGGACAUAUCAUGAUGAUGAUGCACACUGUGCUUCACUUCUGGGUUGAAACCUUUCUAGAAGUUCUUGUUACUGAGUUGGCUCUCCUCCCUCUGACUAUUAUUUGAGGCUAUAAACACUGCUCUAGGUAUUCCCAACUGUCCUGGCUGAGAUCCUGCUCUGCAAACUGUGGUCAGAUUCCCUCAAAACCUAUUCUAGUUAAUGGGUCUUUGCUUGGUCCAACUUCCUCUCCCCUCAUGCAUUGUGGCUGAAUCCAUCUAUGAUUUGUCUUUGUAGUUGAUGUGAGGGUUUCUGCAAAAAGCUCUAUCUCCAAAGUCUCCAUCUAUGAUACCUGAAAUUUCUUGCUAUUAGAGAUUCAGUACUUUGACAUAGGAUAUUUUCUAUAGGUAAUGUCUGUAAGAAUGCAUAUAUUCCAGGUGUCUCAGGGUGUUCUAGGUUAAGCUGUGGUAAUGAGUAAACCCAAAUAUGUAAUAGCUCAAUAUAAUAGUUUAUUUCUUGCUCACAUAGCAAUCCUGUGUGGGUUCUCAAGUCAGCAGGGUGGUUCUCCUCCCCACAGUCAUUUUGAGAUUCAGGUUUUCCCCAUUUUGUGGCCCCUCAAUUCCCUAGGGCCUCUUUGGCAUCUAUACACAGCUGGUGGAAGAAAAGAGCCAGACUGGAGUAAGACCCUUUUCUUAAAAGCUUUGACCUGAAGGUGGCGCCCUGUACGUAUUCUCACAUGCCAUUGGUCAAAAUUCAAUCACAUGUUCACAUCUAAUUGCAAGGGAGGCUGGGGAAUGUAGUCUAGUCAUUUUGCCAGGAAAAAUAUGGGAGAAUAGAUUUAGGAGGACAGCUAACAGUUGCUGCCAUACCAAAUAAGGAUAACAUGCUAACCCGUUUUCAGUCUUUAAUGCCCUAACACAGUUUGGCUAAUUAAAUUGCUAAUAUCUUGGAAAACAGAUGACGAAAUAACAGGAUAUGAGCUAGGUCAGGAGAACAAAGUAGAGGAGUGUAGAGAAUACAUAGCCAAACAUAGUUCAUUGAAUGGAAAGGUCAGAUUUCCUUGAGGUGAAAAAUUUGCAGAGAUAGUGAGAGGUGACAACGUGCUAGCAGCCCUAGCUUGCUCUUGGCGCCUCCUCGGCCUCGUGUCUGCUCCAGCCGCACUUGUGGAGCCCUUCAGCCUGCCGCUGCGCUGUGGGGGCCCCUCUCUGGGGCUGGCCAAGGCUGGAACCGGCUCCCUCUGCUCACGGGGAGGUGUGGAGGGGGAGGCGCAGGAGGGAGCCGGGGCUGUGCACGGCACUUGCAGGCCAGCACGGGUUCUGGGUGGGCACGGGCUCCACGGCCGGCCUCGCAGCCGGUCCCGCAGCCGGCGCCUGCUGGGCUUGAUCAGGGAAGAGCUCCCUCUGGGCUGCCGGACUGCCCGGGCUAGGAGCCGCAAAGUCCUGCAGCGAGUGCCAGUGAGAAGUAAAGCUGGCUGGGCUUCUGGGACGGGUGGUUAUUUGGAGAACUUUUCUAUCUAGCUAAAGGAUUGUAAAUGCACCAAUCAGUGCUCUGUGUCUAACUAAUCUGGUGGGGACUUGGAGAACUUUUGUGUCUAGCUAAAGGAUUGUAAACACACCAAUCAGCACUCUGUCAAAACGGACCAAUCAGCUCUCUGUAAAAUGGACCAAUCAGCAGGAUGUGGAUGGGGCCAGAUAAGGGUAUAAAAGCAGGCCACCUGAGCCAGCAGGGGCAACCUGCUCUGGUCCUUUUCCACGUAGUGGUGGCUUUGUUCUUUUCCUCUUCCCAAUAAAUCUUGCUGUUGCUCACUCUUCCAGUCUGCACUGUUUUUAUGAGCUGUAACACUGCGAAGGUCUGCAGCUUCACUCCUGAAGCCAGCAAGACAACGAACCCACCAGGAGGGACGAACAACUCUGGAUGGGAAGAAUGAACAACUCCGGAUGUGCCGCCUUUAUGAACUGUAACACUCACUGUGAAGGUCUGCAGCUUCACUCCUGAGGCCAGCAAGACCACGAACCUACUGGAAGGAAUGAACAACUUCAGACGUGCCACCUUUAAGAGCUGUAACACUCACCGCGAAGGUCUGCAGCUUCAUUCCUGAAGUCAGUGAGACCAUGAACCCACCAGAAGGAAGAAACUCUGGACACAUCUGAACAUCUGAAGGAACAAACUCUGGACACACCAUCUUUAAGAACUGUGUAACACUCACCACGAGGGUCCGUGGCUUUAUUCUCAAAGUCAGUGAGACCAAGAACCCACCAAUUCUGGACACAAUAGGACUCUUAGAAAGUCAGGGGUUAGCCUGAGCACGGUGGCUCAUGCCUGUAAUCCCAGCAUUUUCGGAGGCUGAGGCUGGUGGAUCACUUGAGCCCAAGAGUUUGGGACCAACCUUGGUGACAUGGUGAAACCUCAUCUCUACUAAAAAUACAAAAAUCAGUCAGGCAUGGUGGCGCCUGCUUGUAGUCCCAGCUACUAUAGAGGUUAAGGUGGGAGGAUUGCUUGAGCCUGGGAGGUGGAGGCUGCAGUGAGCCAUGAUUGU